Pangasianodon hypophthalmus (striped catfish) is the source of this 1876-nucleotide long non-coding RNA. RefSeq lists it as uncharacterized. Lineage: Eukaryota; Metazoa; Chordata; Actinopteri; Siluriformes; Pangasiidae. The transcript has 4 exons. The record is from RefSeq and is a predicted model, not a curated record.
GCAGUACUGAUGGUGGAAGUGACUUGUUAAUGAGAGAGCUCAGAAGUGAAUAGCCAGACUGGUUUGAGCUGAUGGAAAGGCUACUUUAACUCAAAUAACCACUCUUUACAACCGUGGUGAGCAGAAAAGCAUAUGGGCUACAACAGCAGAAGACCACAUCAGGUUUCAAUCUGAGGCUUCUGUGGGCACAGACUCACUGAAACUGGACUGUUGAAGAUCAGAAAAAGACAAGGGGAAAUGGCUGGAAAUCCGGCACAGGUUGCAAAAACAAGCGCUCAAGAGUGUGUCCUGCUAUUGUGUAGGGGUCAGACAGUCAUUUAACCUGUCUGAGCUGAGCUCUGGAGGGUCACGGGGCUCCAGAUUGAGAUUCCUCCCACUGCUAAGUGCAGGCCGUGCGCAUUGCUGAUAUGGCUGUCAGAAAAUUCCAGCUGGUUGAGGACUGAAUGACCCUGAGGAUAUGAUCGCAUAAUGGUGGACAUCCAAAUAGUGCCUGAUAUGGUAAGGAGGAAAUGAACUGGCAAAUGUUCAAAUGAGGACACAGGCAAGUAAAUUAUUGACUAAACCUAUUUAAUUUCAGUUAUGGUAUAGGGAGGAACCUGCACAAUUGCCACAUUUUUUUUGGUUUGAGCCAUGGUUUACAUUAUAGACUUCAUAUUUUCCACAUAACAGCAUACAUAUUUUUGCUUUUUUAUUAGCUUUUUUUAAUCAUAUGCAAGUUUACCAGUAUUGUCAGUGAGAACUGUACUUCACUGAAACCAAAACCACAAGGAGUUCUGUGUUACAACUGUAAAGAUUUGCACAAUUGGACUAUUGCAUGGGGGAAUAUUAACAACACUCACGUACAUCAGGAAAAACUAUGUUAACUCUUCAUAGACUCGCUACGCUGUGUGAUAUAGUUUUGAUGGUGGCUUGGAAAAUAUUUUAAAGAUGUAUUGUAAUUGACUGAUGAUGCACAGCUCAUAUACCCUUUUUAUAUUCAUGAAUUUUUUUUCUGUGUCAUUUUUUGUUACAUCAUAAUAACCAUGAUUGCUAUGGUAUGGUAUAUGGUUGCAGUGAUUUAACCAUAAUUCUAUGAUAUAAGCAUCUUAAUUCUCAUCCUUAUCUGUAUGUGAGCAGGGAAGUUAGUGUAAGCAUGACUCUAUAAGAGUCUGAAACACCUCUGAAGCAAGAUGCUGUACAAUUAUUACGUGUUACAACUACGCUUCAGUUAGUGUAGAGAAAUAUCCCCAGCAAGAGAGGACGAAUCAUGCUGGACACAGAGAAGUGAUGUUCUUGUAUAUCCAUGUAAUCAGGUCGCAGUUAGAGAAAGCCAUGCUGCAACUGUGCCGGCUCUUCCCAAUGCACAUGACCAUGACAAUUUUUUAGCCAAGCAAAAUCAAUUGUUUCCGUAGUCUUUCCUAUGUGUUGUCCUAUUUGCUAUAAUAAAAGUGAUUCAUUGUUUGCCUUGUGCCUUGUAAGAUUGUUCAUAUGCAUUGCUGCAGGCUGUUGUUCAGAACACAGAAGAUGUUUGACAUCAUCAUUAAUCCCGCACACUAGAUCCAUAAGAUAGCAAAGCUGGCAUGUCAGAAAGUAGGCCUUGAUUAUCUUCUAUUUUUCUAGCUUCAUUGAACUCUGCGCUCUUAAUGACUUAUUGAUCAAACACAUAAACAUGCAUCGAUCAGUUGUUUGGGUCAGCAAUAUGUGGACUGAGCUAUGUGUAUGCAUUGAGUGAAUACAUUGUAUAGAAAAUAUAGUUACUUAUGUCUUAUCUUUAGGAAAUGCACUAUUAUGCGCUAUUACGAUGCUGUGAUAAUGAUAACUAGGUGACCAAAUGAAGUAAUAUAAAAUCCCAGCAUACAGCUGAGGGUCUAGGGUCUUGCUUAAUUACCCAGAAGCA